RNAcentral lists this ribosomal RNA (513 nucleotides) under uncultured Bacillota bacterium. RNAcentral describes it as "bacterial SSU rRNA". It matches the Rfam family "Bacterial small subunit ribosomal RNA", at positions 390 to 896 of the family's 1533-position model. The record is from RNAcentral. Lineage: Bacteria; Bacillati; Bacillota.
AGCAAUGCCGCGUGAGUGACGAAGGUUUUCGGAUCGUAAAACUCUGUUGUAAGGGAAGACAAGUACCAAGUAACUACUGGUACCUUGACGGUACCUUACCAGAAAGCCACGGCUAACUACGUGCCAGCAGCCGCGGUAAUACGUAGGUGGCAAGCGUUGUCCGGAAUUAUUGGGCGUAAAGCGCGCGCAGGCGGUCCCUUAAGUCUGAUGUGAAAGCCCACGGCUCAACCGUGGAGGGUCAUUGGAAACUGGGGGACUUGAGUGCAGAAGAGGAAAGUGGAAUUCCAUGUGUAGCGGUGAAAUGCGUAGAGAUGUGGAGGAACACCAGUGGCGAAGGCGACUUUCUGGUCUGUAACUGACGCUGAGGCGCGAAAGCGUGGGGAGCAAACAGGAUUAGAUACCCUGGUAGUCCACGCCGUAAACGAUGAGUGCUAAGUGUUAGGGGGUUUCCGCCCCUUAGUGCUGCAGCUAACGCAUUAAGCACUCCGCCUGGGGAGUACGGCCGCAAGGCUG